GGGAAUGUAGCAUAGUGGUAGAGUGCUUGCCUAGCAUGCAUGAAGCCCUAGGUUCAAUUCCUCAGUACCA
Molecule: transfer RNA, 70 nt
Filed under: Dipodomys ordii (Ord's kangaroo rat)
Lineage: Eukaryota; Metazoa; Chordata; Mammalia; Rodentia; Heteromyidae
Rfam family: tRNA
About the family: Transfer RNA (tRNA) molecules are approximately 80 nucleotides in length.
Source: Rfam by way of RNAcentral